GUUUUUUUUCCGUUCAAUAAAAAUCGCAUUUAUUGCAUAUUGUAUUAUUUCGACUAGGAACGCAAUCGAGUGUAUAUAGGCAGAUAUUAUGUGUUCACUUGAAAUAUUCACCAAAGCCGAAGAACAUAGUUGUGUCACUGGAGAAACGGGCCAGGGUCGACAGUUGUCAACGGGCAAUUAUUAUUGUGUUCGAAUGCAACGUUUUUACGAAAAAAAAAAAAUAAUAAUAAUAACAAAAACGACACGACGAUAAAUUAUACAACUCGGUGCAUUCGAAAUGUUAAUAUUCUGCAUUACAGAUAAGACAUGGUGUCACAAUAUUUAUUAUGGUACACGUAUGUUAUCAAACAUUUUUUUCAGCCAUUCAUUUUUUUUUAUAAUUUAUCAUAAUUAUUAUUAUCAGAAGUGAUUAAUAUGGGCAAAAAAUAAACGUAAUUUAUGAUUUUA
Long non-coding RNA from Aphis gossypii (cotton aphid), 447 nucleotides. RefSeq lists it as uncharacterized. The transcript is spliced from 2 exons. The record is from RefSeq and is a predicted model, not a curated record. Lineage: Eukaryota; Metazoa; Arthropoda; Insecta; Hemiptera; Aphididae.